This is a non-coding RNA of Gossypium raimondii (Peruvian cotton), 45 nucleotides long. The record is from Rfam. Lineage: Eukaryota; Viridiplantae; Streptophyta; Magnoliopsida; Malvales; Malvaceae.
UUAGUGGAGUUUUUAGACUCCACAAAUAGAAUGAGAGAAUUGACA